CAUGUGCAUACUACCUCAAUCAGCCUGACUAACUGGUGUCUGAAUGUAGCCUCGCUACAUUUAUAGCCUUGCUACAGUAUAUAGCCUGUCUUUUUACUGUUGUUUUAUUUCUUUACUUACCUAUUGUUCACCUAACACCUUUUUUGCACUAUUGGUUAGAGCCUGUAAGUAAGCAUUUCACUGUGAGGUCUACUACACCUGUUGUUUUCGGCGCACGUGACAAAUAAACUUUGAUUCGAUCCCCUCAUAGUCUCACCUCUCCCCUUUACAACCAUUGAAUCUGUAUGUUUUGACCAUGACAGUUAACAAUCUAAGGUAACACCAAGUAAUUUAGUCUCCUCAACUUGUUCAACAGCCACACCAUUCAUUACCAGAUUCAGCUGAGAUCUAGAACUUACCAAAUGCUCUUAGUUUUAGAGAUGUUCAGGACCGGUGUAUUACUGGCCGAGCCAUUCCAAAACAGACUGCAACUCUUUGUUAAGUGUUUCAGUGACUUCAUUAGCUGUAGUUGCUGAUGCGUAUAUGGUUGAAUCAUCAGAAUACAUGGACACACAUGCUUUGUUUAAUACCAGUGGCAGGUUAUUAGAGAAGUUUCCAUUAAAGAAAUAGAAUUCUCUGAGUAUUAUGAUAUAGACGGCUCUGAAUCCACGAUAUGGCAGAGGUUGAAAAGCCAUAACACAUAUGUUUUCUCAACAACAGGUUAUGGUCAAUAAUAUCAAAACGCUCCACUGAAAAUCUAACAGUACAGCUAAAAAAAACAGAGAUCUCUCCCCAUCUUUACAACCAUUGAAUCUGUAUGUUUUGACCAUGACAGUUUACAAUCUAAGGUAACGCCAAGUAAUUUAGUCUCCUUAAGUUGUUCAACAGCCACACCAUUCAUUACCAGAUUCAUCUGAGGUCUAGAAUUUAGGCUACCUACAGCGUCACACGGUAUUUUCUUCAAUAUUCUGAAGACAAACAGCGGGACUGCAUCUAUCUACACACCACAGAUACACACCCACACACACCAUCAAACACACCACACACACAUACACCACAUACACACACAAAACACACAAAACACAUACGCCACAAACAGAGCGUGUGAGAGCACACAGCAAAGCCGGUCCCCCUGAAUGAUAAAGUAGCCAAGCGAGGGAGAGCAGGAGUGCUGACGAGCGCAGAACAAUCCUUAAUUUUAUUCAGUGUCCUCUAAAGCUUUCUGACACAUGAGCUUGUCAUAUUUCUCUUGUCCUCCGUUCCUUCUCCUUUCUUUCUCCUCCUCUUCCUCCUCGUCUUCCUCCUCCUCCUCCUCCUGUCCUCCUCUCCCGCUCUGUCUCUUCUUGUCAAGACCUGGGUAGAGCUGAGUGUUGCAUUAUGGGAGGUGGAUCUGACUCUUGCUGGCUAAUUAGCGUGACAAAGAGUGGGUGUCUCGUUGGGAUCAGACGGAGAAUUGGAACAUUACCACACCAGACAUGAUAUGGAACACAUUGUCUAGAAUUAGAACACAACACACCAGAUAUGAUAUGGAACACAUUGGGAGAAUUAGAACACAACACACCAGAUAUGAUAUGGAACACGUUGUCUAGAAUUAGAACACAACACACCAGAUAUGAUAUGGAACACAUUGUCUAGAAUUAGAACCCAACACACCAGAUAUGAUAUGGAACACGUUGUCUAGAAUUAGAACCCAUCACACCAGAUAUGAUAUGGAACACAUUGGGAGAAUUAGAACCCAACACACCAGAUAUGAUAUGGAACACAUUGUCUAGAAUUACAACCCAACACACCAGACAUGAUAUGGAACACGUUGUCUAGAAUUAGAACACAACACACCAGACAUGAUAUGGAACACAUUGUCUAGAAUUAGAACGCAACACACCAGAUAUGAUAUGGAACACGUUGUCUAGAAUUAGAACACAACACACCAGAUAUGAUAUGGAACACAUUGUCUAGAAUUAGAACACAACACACCAGAUAUGAUAUGGAACACAUUGUCUAGAAUUAGAACACAACACACCAGAUAUGAUAUGGAACACGUUGUCUAGAAUUAGAACACAACACACCAGAUAUGAUAUGGAACACGUUGUCUAGAAUUAGAACACAUCACACCAGAUAUGAUAUGGAACACGUUGUCUAGAAUUAGAACCCAACACACCAGAUAUGAUAUGGAACACGUUGUCUAGAAUUAGAACACAACACACCAGAUAUGAUAUGGAACACGUUGUCUAGAAUUAGAACCCAACACACCAGAUAUGAUAUGGAACACGUUGUCUAGAAUUAGAACACAUCACACCAGAUAUGAUAUGGAACACAUUGUCUAGAAUUAGAACGCAACACACCAGAUAUGAUAUGGAACACAUUGUCUAGAAUUAGAACGCAACACACCAGAUAUGAUAUGGAACACGUUGUCUAGAAUUAGAACACAACACACCAGAUAUGAUAUGGAACACAUUGUCUAGAAUUAGAACGCAACACACCAGAUAUGAUAUGGAACACAUUGUCUAGAAUUAGAACACAACACACCAGAUAUGAUAUGGAACACGUUGUCUAGAAUUAGAACACAACACACCAGAUAUGAUAUGGAACACAUUGUCUAGAAUUAGAACGCAACACACCAGAUAUGAUAUGGAACACAUUGUCUAGAAUUAGAACGCAACACACCAGAUAUGAUAUGGAACACAUUGGGAGAAUUAGAACCCAACACACCAGAUAUGAUAUGGAACACGUUGUCUAGAAUUAGAACGCAACACACCAGAUAUGCUACAGAUGGCGUCAGGGAUAAGGAGGAAGCGACACCUGUUGAAGUCUAAUUAGCUCAACACAGAGACAUGGUUGAGUCACGGAGACUGAGGUUUCCAACAGCAAUGCCGGGGCAGAGCUCCCCUGAUGCUCUCUGUUCACAAUGCUACUCGCUAAGACUAGAUAGGCUAACUGUAAACAGAGAAAAUUUGUCACUGAAACAAUCAAAAGGUCAAUACUUAGCAGUCAAAUCCACCAGUGCCGAGUGACACAGACCCGAAGAAUGACUGAGUAACACACAAUGCUAGUCUGCUAAUAUUAGUUACUGUUUAGACUUUUAAAGGUGAUAUAUAGUUAAAGACAUGCUCUGAUACUCUGCGACAUCUUUCCCGCUUUGGGCUGGAUGUGUCAAUGUGUAGUUCAUACAUGCAGAAUCUAUGAGGAGAAUGUAUGUCUUGACUAAAUUAGCCAUGGAAUCCCUAGUUUGAAAGCAACUGUUUUCUGGAAGAUUUGCUGCGCUGUUUCCUCUAAAUUUCCCCCCACGUGGGCCAGCCCCUUAGCAAUUUUAGUUCCAGCCAAUGAGAUUCAGUUCCUUGCUAUUUUAUUUUAUUUUAUUAGGUUCUCUUUUAGUCCUUAUUUGGACUAAUCUUCCAAGAAUCUUUAAACAUUAAAAUACAAUUUAUUAUACGAUCAUAUUUUCACAUAUAAACACACUGUUACAAACAGACAUAAUAUACUGACAUAUUGACUAGAUAAAUACUCUAACAGUCUGAAAAUAUGUAUUCCUUCAUCUACUAUAGUUCUGCACAACCUUCCAAUUUAUUAUAUUUAAAUGGUCCUAAAGUAUUAUUUUAAUUUACAUAUUGAAAGGUUUCUGGUUUGCUCAGAUAAAUUAUUACAUUUCUUUAUUGCUCUGAAUCAAAAUGUUAUUUUGCCUAUUUCUCUUUUCUGUCUGGAUAACACAUAGAUGGUGGACAAUCUAUUCCUAGUAUUGACUGACUGUCUGUCUCUUACCAACUGAAUACUGUUGUAAAUGGAGUUUGGCUAUAUUGUAAGUCGCUCUGGAUAAGAGCUGGUGGAACAGACCAGCUUAACCUUGGUUUUCUUGGUGUUUAAAACAAGUUUGUUCCGGCAAACCGACUCCCUGAAAUUUCCCAGAUCUACUUGUAGAGAUUGUUGUACCAAGACCAAUUGUCUUGCUGUAUAAAUUGUAGUAUAGAGUAGCUUGAGUUUCAGAUAAGGCAUAAGGAAGGUCAUUGGUAUAUAUUAAGUAAAGAAGUGGCCCAAGGCAGCUACCCUGCGGUAUUCCACAGUUUAAAGCAUGAGGGGAAGAAAACAACCCAUAGAUAUAGCUGGACCAUUUCCUUUCAGUUAG
RNAcentral lists this long non-coding RNA (4096 nucleotides) under Salmo salar (Atlantic salmon). Its description in RNAcentral is "lncRNA (ENSSSAG00000094478.1)". The record is from RNAcentral. Lineage: Eukaryota; Metazoa; Chordata; Actinopteri; Salmoniformes; Salmonidae.